RNAcentral lists this ribosomal RNA (450 nucleotides) under uncultured bacterium. RNAcentral describes it as "partial 16S ribosomal RNA". It matches the Rfam family "Bacterial small subunit ribosomal RNA", at positions 354 to 796 of the family's 1533-position model. The record is from RNAcentral.
GUGGGGAAUCUUCCGCAAUGGACGAAAGUCUGACGGAGCAACGCCGCGUGAGUGAAGAAGGUUUUCGGAUCGUAAAGCUCUUUCGUUAGGGACGAACGUGCUCUUUGUGAAUAAUGAGGAGUAAUGACGGUACCUAAAUAAGAAGCCACGGCUAACUACGUGCCAGCAGCCGCGGUAAUACGUAGGUGGCAAGCGUUGUCCGGAAUUAUUGGGCGUAAAGCGCGCGCAGGCGGGAUAUCAAGUCUGUCUUAAAAGUGCGAGGCUCAACCUCGUGAGGGGACAGAAACUGGUAUUCUUGAGUGUCGGAGAGGAAAGUGGAAUUCCAAGUGUAGCGGUGAAAUGCGUAGAGAUUUGGAAGAACACCAGUGGCGAAGGCGACUUUCUGGACGAAAACUGACGCUGAGGCGCGAAAGCCAGGGGAGCGAACGGGAUUAGAUACCCGUGUAGUCC